This 400-nucleotide ribosomal RNA is filed under the name uncultured bacterium. Its description in RNAcentral is "bacterial SSU rRNA". It matches the Rfam family "Bacterial small subunit ribosomal RNA", at positions 29 to 417 of the family's 1533-position model. The record is from RNAcentral.
AAUCAACGCUGGCGGCGUGCCUAACACAUGCAAGUCGAACGCGAAAGUCCCGCAAGGGAUGAGUAGAGUGGCAAACGGGUGAGUAACGCGUGGGUGACCUGCCUUCGAGCGGGGGAUAACGCUCCGAAAGGGACGCUAAUACCGCAUAACAUCCCGCCUUUGAACAGGCGGAAAUCAAAGCUGGGGAUCGCAAGACCCAGCACUUGAAGAGGGGCCCGCGUCUGAUUAGCAGUUGGUGAGGUAACGGCUCACCAAGGCGACGAUCAGUAUCCGGCCUGAGAGGGCGGACGGACACACUGGGACUGAGACACGGCCCAGACUCCUACGGGAGGCAGCAGUGGGAAUUUUUCGCAAUGGGGGAAACCCUGACGAAGCAACGCCGCGUGGAGGAUGAAGGCCU